UGGGGAAUGGUGUAAUGGUAACACAGCGGUUUUUGGUACCGUUAUUCUAGGUUCGAGUCCUAGUUCCCCAG
This 71-nucleotide transfer RNA is filed under the name Phenylobacterium zucineum HLK1. It matches the Rfam family "tRNA". From Rfam's summary of the family: Transfer RNA (tRNA) molecules are approximately 80 nucleotides in length. Their secondary structure includes four short double-helical elements and three loops (D, anti-codon, and T loops). Further hydrogen bonds mediate the characteristic L-shaped molecular structure. tRNAs have two regions of fundamental functional importance: the anti-codon, which is responsible for specific mRNA codon recognition, and the 3' end, to which the tRNAs corresponding amino acid is attached (by aminoacyl-tRNA synthetases). tRNAs cope with the degeneracy of the genetic code in two manners: having more than one tRNA (with a specific anti-codon) for a particular amino acid; and 'wobble' base-pairing, i.e. permitting non-standard base-pairing at the 3rd anti-codon position. Lineage: Bacteria; Pseudomonadati; Pseudomonadota; Alphaproteobacteria; Caulobacterales; Caulobacteraceae. RNAcentral also lists the same sequence under 2 other names. The record is from Rfam by way of RNAcentral.